Molecule: transfer RNA, 129 nt
Filed under: Stachybotrys chlorohalonatus IBT 40285
Lineage: Eukaryota; Fungi; Ascomycota; Sordariomycetes; Hypocreales; Stachybotryaceae
Description: Stachybotrys chlorohalonata IBT 40285 tRNA
Rfam family: tRNA
About the family: Transfer RNA (tRNA) molecules are approximately 80 nucleotides in length.
Source: Rfam by way of RNAcentral
ACCCUGUUAGCUCAGUGGUAGAGCGUGGCCCUCUCCCCUCUCUUCCGCUAUCUAAAUUCCUAAAUCUUCUUUCCGCUCCGAUCCUAGGAACUUGAUGGCAAGACGCUGGUUCGAUUCCAGCACGGGCUA